CGGCUGGCGGCGUGCCUAACACAUGCAAGUCGAGCGAGGAGAUCCUUCGGGAUGAUCCUAGCGGCGGACGGGUGAGUAACACGUGGGCAACCUGCCUCAUAGAGAGGAAUAGCCUUCCGAAAGGGAGAUUAAUACCUCAUAACAUUGCAGUUUCGCAUGGAACAGCAAUUAAAGGAGUAAUCCGCUAUGAGAUGGGCCCGCGGCGCAUUAGCUAGUUGGUGAGGUAACGGCUCACCAAGGCGACGAUGCGUAGCCGACCUGAGAGGGUGAUCGGCCACAUUGGGACUGAGACACGGCCCAGACUCCUACGGGAGGCAGCAGUGGGGAAUAUUGCACAAUGGGGGAAACCCUGAUGCAAGCAACGCCGCGUGAGUGAUGACGGCCUUCGGGUUGUAAAGCUCUGUCUUCAGGGACGAUAAUGACGGUACCUGAGGAGGAAGCCACGGCUAACUACGUGCCAGCCGCAGC
Molecule: ribosomal RNA, 468 nt
Filed under: uncultured bacterium
Lineage: Bacteria
Description: bacterial SSU rRNA
Rfam family: Bacterial small subunit ribosomal RNA
Source: RNAcentral